Long non-coding RNA from Astatotilapia calliptera (eastern happy), 1525 nucleotides. Lineage: Eukaryota; Metazoa; Chordata; Actinopteri; Cichliformes; Cichlidae. The record is from Ensembl.
UCUGAUGAAGAUCUGUUUUUUUAUUUACAGCAGUAGAAAAUUCACAAACAUAUAAAAAGAUUAAUAUCAUACAAAAUGUAAUUUUAUAUCAAGUUCGUUUAUAAUUCCACUGAUUUAUGUCAGAGGGGUGUAGCAGCUCCCCCAAACACACUUCUGUGGCAGAAUCGCAGAAGGUCUGGACGCUCUACAAAAGACAAAAAUUAAACAACACCAACUUAAAUAUCUUUACUGAACAUUAUUACAGGAAACAUGAACCUCAAACAAACAUGACUGCAUUUCACUUACUGCCUUGUUUUCCUGAGCUGCAGAGGCAUUUGUUCAGAGCCUGUUUCUCUUUGCUGUCUAUGGGUAGGAGUGGUUGGGGACACCUAAGUUUGCCCCUGAAAGACUCUGCAAGAGAGAAUAGAGGUGGUCACUGAAACCAUUUCACUCCAGUCAUUGCCAGUUAACCAACUUUAUGUGGCAUCAUGGUAACGUUUACAAUGGCACAGAUUUGCAGUCGAUCUUUUCAAGAUAGGACACACUUCAAUGUAGCAUCAUAGCAGCCCUGAGGACUGCAAUGUUGGUGUUUGUGUGUUUUGUUGCAGUUACAACUGCAACAAUGACAUUACCAAACAAAACUGUAAUGGGUUUUGUAAAAGCGCUAUACAAAUACAGGCCAUACAGGCCAAAACUGCUGGUAACUUACUUGUGCAUCUGCAUCUGAGAAUAUCCUGUUUGGUCACACCAGACUGAGCAGCAGACUCUGCCCUCAGUGAAAAAGAAAAGCAAACAAGUGAGAAAUCAUUUAUACGAACGUAAAACAUUAUCCAUCAACCCCGUGUAACAUUUCCUCUCAAACUCACGGGCAGUGGUGCACAAUAGUUUACAUUUAAAAUGAGUCAGUUAGUUAUCGUCCCGUUGGUGAGUAAAACAGCAACAUAACCAUCCAUGCAUAUAAAGUUCAAAACUAAUGAUCCUCGUAUGUACCUGUGCUAUCACACAGGCUGCUGACCAGAAUGAUGAGCAGCAGCGUCAUCCCUGUGAUCCUGGACAUGGUGGCGAAGGUUCGUCUGUUCCGUCUGACGUGUUCAGAUUCUUCUGCAGAAGACGAGGAUCUGAGUUUUAUACCCCCGCAGUGAGUCCACGCUGACACGGUAUAAAGUUGUGAAUCGAUGCCUCCAUCAAACAAAGGUUUUGUCUACUUCUUCAGGGGCCACAGCUAACAGAAAUCAGCUCGAGUAGCAUUAAAAAUACUGCAGCCUGAAAAUAUAUUAUGUCUGCUCAGAAAUGUAGGACCUGAUUAUUAACAGUAACUGACAAUAAGACAAGAACAGGACGUGUGAGGCUAACAUGUGAAAAGUGAUUCUGUGUCUUGAUUUUGUUGUUUUAUUGUUGUUUUCAGUUGAAGGCAUAAAAAAAUAAACCUUUAAAAAAAAAAAGAAGAUGAACAUUAUCAUCAGUUUAUAUAUCAGUGGACAUUCCUGCCUGUGUGGUGAGGGUUUUGUAACAGCAUUGAAGAAAUGAGUCAUUUAUUUCACAAGCA